GGUCAGGAUGAACGCUGGCGGCGUGCUAACACAUGCAAGUCGAACGAAGCCAAAAGGAAGCUUGCUUCUUGAAGCUUAGUGGCGGACGGGUGGAGUAACGCGUGAGGAACCUGCCCUUCAGUGGGGAAUAACAGCCGGAAACGACUGCUAAUACCGCAUAACGUCAUCGGACCGCAUGAUCUGGUGACCAAAGGAUUUAUUCGCUGAAGGAUGGCCUCGCGUCCGAUUAGGCAGUUGGUGAGGUAACGGCCCACCAAACCUACGAUCGGUAGCCGAACUGAGAGGUUGAUCGGCCACAUUGGGACUGAGACACGGCCCAGACUCCUACGGGAGGCAGCAGUGGGGAAUAUUGGGCAAUGGGCGAAAGCCUGACCCAGCAACGCCGCGUGAAGGAAGACGGUCUUCGGAUUGUAAACUUCUUUGAUUGGGGAAGAACACAAUGACCUACCCAAAGAACAAGUCACGGCUAACUACGUGCCAGCCGCAGC
RNAcentral lists this ribosomal RNA (488 nucleotides) under uncultured bacterium. Its description in RNAcentral is "bacterial SSU rRNA". It matches the Rfam family "Bacterial small subunit ribosomal RNA", at positions 22 to 518 of the family's 1533-position model. The record is from RNAcentral.